GUGCUUAUUUCAGCAGCACAUAUACUAAAAUUGGAAUGAUACAGAGAAGAUUAGUAUGACUCCUGCACAAAGAUGAUAUGCAAAUUCAUAAAGCAUCCUCUCUCUCU
Small nuclear RNA from Lynx canadensis (Canada lynx), 107 nucleotides. The record is from Ensembl. Lineage: Eukaryota; Metazoa; Chordata; Mammalia; Carnivora; Felidae.